AUGUUUGCCCCUUUGAGAGAAUCAAGAAGAGUAGUACUUGGUGGAGAGAUGGAUUCGGCCUUGGCAACAGAGGGAUCAAAUGUAUAUGAUAGAAGGUGAGAAGGGAGUGAGUCAUGGGAAUAAGGCCAAACUUUCAUUCGCAUAUUUUUCUGCACUGUUACAAUUUUGCACUUUAUGUUUAGAAUAUUCACUUAAGGUAGUUACUAGUUUCACCUAAAGUAUAGGUCUUAAUUGAUCCUUUUAUUCAUUUUUUUCUCAGCACAAGGUUCUUAGAGUUUCAGUUAGUAAAAUCAUUAUCAUUUCUGCAACUCUUAGAGGUCU
Molecule: long non-coding RNA, 321 nt
Filed under: Rosa chinensis
Lineage: Eukaryota; Viridiplantae; Streptophyta; Magnoliopsida; Rosales; Rosaceae
Description: sRNA RchiOBHm_Chr1g0349831
Source: RNAcentral